This 62-nucleotide ribosomal RNA is filed under the name Colletotrichum gloeosporioides. RNAcentral describes it as "partial 28S ribosomal RNA". Lineage: Eukaryota; Fungi; Ascomycota; Sordariomycetes; Glomerellales; Glomerellaceae. The record is from RNAcentral.
UGACCUCGGAUCAGGGAAGGAAUACCCGCUGAACUUAAGCAAACAAUAAGCGAAGAAAAAUA